RNAcentral lists this ribosomal RNA (253 nucleotides) under uncultured bacterium. RNAcentral's name for it is "partial 16S ribosomal RNA". It matches the Rfam family "Bacterial small subunit ribosomal RNA", at positions 524 to 776 of the family's 1533-position model. The record is from RNAcentral.
UACGAAGGGGGCUAGCGUUGUUCGGAUUUACUGGGCGUAAAGCGCAUGUAGGCGGACCAUUAAGUUGGGGGUGAAAUCCCGAGGCUCAACCUCGGAAUUGCCUCCAAAACUGGCGGUCUGAAGCAGAAGAGAGUCGAGUGGAAUUCCGAGUGUAUAGGUGAAAUUCCUAGAUAUUUGGAGGAACAUCAGUGGCGAAGGCGACUCCCUUGCUUCUUGCUGACGCUGUGAUGCGAUAGCGUGGGGAGCAAAAAGC